This 849-nucleotide long non-coding RNA is filed under the name Setaria italica (foxtail millet). Its description in RNAcentral is "long non-coding RNA (SITA_LNC002080)". The record is from RNAcentral. Lineage: Eukaryota; Viridiplantae; Streptophyta; Magnoliopsida; Poales; Poaceae.
GAACAGUCUAACAUCCAACAGCCUUUUUAUUAGAACAUCUUUAAUGUGACUCUGCAAGAUACAUCAUAAACUGUCAAAGCAACUGAGAUCAUCUUCAAUGUGACAUAAACUGUCAAAGCAACUGAGAUCAUCUUCAAUGUGACUCAACACCUGCAAGAUACAUCAUAAACUGUCAAGCAACUGAGAUGAGAAAGUGAGCUGUUAGAUGCUAUAGAGCUAACUGUUACACUAACCUCAGUUGUAAUCAGAAAAUAAUUUUUUCUUCAAAUACUUCAUUGUAUUUGCAUGCUCUAGCUUUUUUUUUGCCCCAUUAGCCUUGGGAUUUCUUCCUCCAGAUCCUCCAGGUCUACAUGCUCAAGAUAAUCUUCACCAAACAAGUAUUAAUUUUAGCCCAGUGAGAUCAAUUUUCCUACUGAGCUUAUUGUGCAGUAUGACUGUAUGAGUCAUUUUAUUAUAAUCAAAGUGCUCUCACAUGAAAAACUACCUCCGCCUUGAGCAGAUCUCGCGCCGCCACCGCUGCCCUGCUGCUCCGCUUGCCGCAUGGUUGCUAUCGCCGCUGGUAGGGUUAGUCGCCGGUGCAGGGUCGAGGGGAUUAUUUAGGGAGGAGCAUGGCGGAGAGGAAGAUUUGGGGGAAGAAGCGCGUGCUUCUUCGGCGCUAGACGGAACGCCGGAAAAACGCGCGCGCGGCCGAGCACAACGGAUCCACGCCGCCGUCGAUGACACGGAGCGGAACGUACAACGCGCUCCGGGACUCGGCGUUUUGCGUCGGAGGACGCGCGCGUGCCGUCGAGGAACGAGACGACGGCAACGCCCUCUCUCUUCAGUUAAUGACUGCCACGGAGGCUAAUU